Molecule: ribosomal RNA, 566 nt
Filed under: uncultured bacterium
Lineage: Bacteria
Description: bacterial SSU rRNA
Rfam family: Bacterial small subunit ribosomal RNA
Source: RNAcentral
AGGAGACAUUACGGGAGGCAGCAGUGAGGGAUAUUGCACAAUGGGCGCGAGCCUGAUGCAGCGACGCCGCGUGGGUGAAGAAGGAUUUCGGUCUGUAAAGCCCUUUUCUGUGUGACGAGAAUGGACGGUAGCACAGGAAUAAGUCUCGGCUAACUACGUGCCAGCAGCCGCGGUAAAACGUAGGAGGCAAGCGUUAUCCGGAGUAACUGGGCGUAAAGGGCGAGUAGGUGGUUCAAUAAGUUGGUUAUGAAAGCUCCUGGCUAAACUGGGAGAGGUUGACCAAGACUGUUGGAUUUGAGUGGAGAAGAGGUAAACGGAAUUCCGCGUGUAGUGGUGAAAUGCGUAGAGAUGCGGAAGAACACCAGUGGCGAAGGCGGUUUACUGGUCUCCAACUGACACUGAACCGCGAAAGCAUGGGUAGCGAACGGGAUUAGAAACCCCGGUAGUCCAUGCCGUAAACGAUGCACACUAAACGUUCGACAUCCGCGAGGGUGUCGAGUGUUGAAGCCAACGCGAUAAGUGUGCCGCCUGGGGAGUACGGUCGCAAGGCUACAAACUCGAAGGAA